GUGAAUCAUCAAAUUUUUGAACGCAAAUUGCACUCUCUUCGGAGAGUAUGCCUGUUUGAGGGUCAGCCUAAAAAAAAAUCGACUUAGUUGCUGUUUCGCAGUGACAUUCGUCGGAAAUUGGGUCAUCUUUAACCUUUGGGUUUUAAGCUGCUUAAAAUUUUCUUUACGUUUCCACGUACGUUUCUAAGUUUUACUUCUUACUUUUAAGGUAUCGAUUUUUAUUAGACGUGUCCGUUGCACCUGGUUACGUCCAACAAUAUUUCGUUAACUGACCUC
RNAcentral lists this unclassified non-coding RNA (276 nucleotides) under Glomus sp. Its description in RNAcentral is "partial contains 5.8S ribosomal RNA and internal transcribed spacer 2". The stretch from base 1 to 65 matches the Rfam family "5.8S ribosomal RNA", at positions 84 to 154 of the family's 154-position model. Lineage: Eukaryota; Fungi; Glomeromycota; Glomeromycetes; Glomerales; Glomeraceae. The record is from RNAcentral.